UCUUAGAAGUUUGACCCCGGACUCCUGAGUUACCACUGACCAAACCUUGGGCAGCCAACAACACCAGCACGCUAAACCACGAGCGCCCCUAUGUCUAAAUUACCCCUUAUUACUCGCCCAAAACUUUGUAUAAAAGCACAAUCUUUUGAAUGGGAAUGGCCAACCUCGGACGGUUGGAUUCCGGAAACGCUGCAGUUCAGACAGUCAGCGAGAAAUAAAUAAUUAAAUAAAAUUGGCUGAUUUUAUAGUUGAAGGCCUCUUUCGUUACUGAAGAAUUAGGGUUUCUCGUUAACAAUGGCGAAGGGAAGGUACGGUCGCUUACAGGUGAAGAAAUGGUCGACAUUGACGCUUGUGUGGUCCAUGCUUCUCAUGCUCUCAGUCGUUAUUUUAAUGCUAUUGGCUUUUGGAAUCGUCUCGCUUCCAAUCAUCGACGACGAUUCUCCGCCACAAGACCUUAGUUCGUUGCGCCGCAUGAUCAUUGAAAGAGGUGAAGGGCUUGGGGACAGGGGGGAGCAGUGGACCGAAGUUCUUGCCUGGGAACCCAGGGCAUUCAUUUAUCACAAUUUUUUGUCCAGGGAAGAAUGUGAGUACUUGAUUAGUCUUGCCAAACCUCAUAUGAAAAAGUCAACUGUUGUUGAUAGCACAACUGGUAAGAGCAAAGAUAGCAGGGUUCGUACAAGUUCUGGAAUGUUUCUGAGGAGAGGGCAAGAUAAAAUCAUUAGGGAUAUAGAGAAAAGGAUUGCAGACUUCAGUUUUAUACCUGCAGAGCAUGGAGAGGGAGUUCAAGUUUUGCACUAUGAAGUAGGGCAGAAAUACGAGCCUCACUUUGAUUACUUCCUUGAUGAGUUUAACACCAAGAAUGGGGGGCAGCGCAUUGCUACUGUUCUUAUGUAUCUGUCAGAUGUUGAAGAAGGAGGUGAAACUCUGUUUCCUGCUGCAACCAAGAAUUUUAGCUCUGUGCCAUGGUGGAAUGAGUUAUCCGAAUGUGCUAAAGAGGGUCUCUCGGUGAAACCAAAAAUGGGUGAUGCAUUGCUAUUUUGGAGCAUGAGGCCUGACGCCACACUAGAUCCUUUGAGUUUGCAUGUUGCCCUGUGAUUAGAGGGAACAAGUGGUCAGCUACAAAGUGGAUGCAUGUUGAGGAGUACACAGUUUAACAUUUAAGCCGGUUGUAAAGGUUGCGCAUGCCUGUACUCCCGCCCAAUUUGGAAUGUCUACUAACGCCCACUUGGAGAACCCACGGUGCCAGUCUCUAAUGAUAUUAGCAAACAUACUGUAGCAACGAUCGCGAUCACUUCAAAUAUCAGCUUCUGCACAGCCACUCUUCACUGUGAAUUAAUUGAGAUUUUAUUUCCUCGCGUCCGUUCAUACUUCAUAGAACCAUUGAAGAGAAUUUUCGGAAUUCAAACUCUUACAAACAGGGAAGUAUGCCUCUCAAUGGAGAGCAAGUCUUUACCCACAUUUUACCAUAAGAUUCAAUUCACAACAGUAUAACAGGUUCUAGAAGGGGUUUUAAAUAGCAAAAAUCCCUUCACAGGGUUGUUGCACAAAACCCACAAAAGUCCUGUUUCAUCAAAAUAAUCUAUCUACAUGCAGGAUAACAUCAGGUAUGAAACAUUCAUAAAACAAUAUUCCUUGAACAAUUAUUUAUUCGAGAACGAUUCUUUCGGUGAGUGUGAUGGGCCCGGGGGGGUGUGGCCCAUAAAACUUUAGUUUAGUUUAGCGAGCAAUGGUUUCCCCCCUAGACGCAGGUACAGCUUUAGGCGUUGGAAAUGCGCAUGAUUUACAAGAUUGAAGAAUCUUCCUUACCUCACCAAUCCAAAGUUGGCUAUUGACACUGUGACAACACCGUAAGCUUGCUAUAUCAAUUUCAAUCAUUCCUCAAAUGAAUGCUGCACAUCAAAUGCUUGAUAGUUAGAAAGCUAGGUUCCACAAAAAAUUUAUUUCUACAACAGGCUGCAUUAACGAAAGCUUGUUGCUCAGGACAAAAAAGCAAAGCUAGUUAGCAAAUGAUAACAAGUCCAUCUAUGAGUAAAAUGAUUAUUUUGCCUAGGCUGGAUUUUGUGUUUGUAAGCCUACAAAUAUCCAUUCAAAAUAUUGGAAAAUCUUGAUUGACCAUGUGUAUUAUUUUCACAUUAAGAAUUGUGGCUAACAAUCCAUAUAACAUGCUAUGUCAGGUCUGGUUAAGCAUAAAGGCUUACCAACCAAAUCAUUUUUACUUGCUGCAAUUUUUUGUGAUAUGCUUUGAAAUGAAACGUCAAGAAAUAUCACUUAAGGAAAUAUGGUUACGAAUUUCCAGCAGGUAAAAUCCAUUGUAUUUCCAAAUUGUAUGUGCUGUGGUGUGCGCCGUAGAGAAAAGAAACAUUUAGAAAUUUCAUUUUAGAAAUGCCACAAGUGAGGCCUGAUCAUGCACAGUAAUAGGCACAAACCUUCACUGUGCUGAUUUUACGAAGCUGGCCCAGGAUCUCAGCAAAAUCUGCAGGUGGAGGGCAUUGAAAGUAUACAUUCUCCAUUGUGUGUGGAUGCAUGAACCUGAGGAAAAAAAAAAAAAAAGCAGCGGGGGUAGUAACUAUUCUGUACCACAAUUUGUGAACUAAAUAUUGCAAACUUAGCUAUAUCCUCUGACCCAAGAGCCAAGGCAUGGAGGCAAUGCCUCUCCAAUUGAGAAACCAGUUGCAAAAGUUGCCCAUGACGGCUAGGUGGGGUUCUAGGCCGAAGCAGUGAUAAAGCCAUGCUCUUGGUCCCUCCAUACACCUCAUCACCUAAAAGUGGAAUUCCCAAGUACUUCGCAUGUGCACGAAUCUAGUUCAAAUAAAGCAAUCCAAGAAUUUAAUGAUUAACAACUUUUAAUAUGUGCAUGUGGUAUUCAAUGUAUUUCAAAGAUGCUUUAGAAAAAAUAAUAAGAUUUAUAUUGUAUGAUGAUGCCAUUUAUUGAGUAUUUGCCUCAUUUUUAUUUUUAUGUUCUAAAAUUGGUCAGGUGACUAUGAGGGUGAGUUUGGAGGCCAGAGUCAGUAAAGGAGACAUUGACCUAGUGAAGAAUUGAACAAGUGUUUAUUAUUAGGAGGCAUUACAUUUAUUAUUUUGGUAUGUAAAAAUUUAGUAACAUCAUGAUUUUACUUAGUUUUGGUAUGUUGGAGGUGUUCCAUUUAUUAUUUUGAGGUUUAAUAAAGUUCUUACUUCUUAGUCAUAAUUGAAGUUUUAA
Carya illinoinensis is the source of this 3199-nucleotide RNA transcript. It is a transcript of the gene named probable prolyl 4-hydroxylase 3, with no coding region annotated. The transcript is spliced from 8 exons. Lineage: Eukaryota; Viridiplantae; Streptophyta; Magnoliopsida; Fagales; Juglandaceae. The record is from RefSeq and is a predicted model, not a curated record.